GAGCCAAGAUAGCUCACUUUGGUUGGUCAGCUGCUCGACUGGGCUAAGGUUGUUCUUCUCGGCUUACGUCCAAGAUCAAGAGAGUAGACCUGGCACAAGGUCAAGGUGUCCAGUACUUCUCCUAACACAUGCCCCACACUUCUGAGGCCAAACUGCCUUCUGGUUCGAGCAGCGGAAGUCAAAUCAUCACUUCAAUAGAGGUAGAGACUUUUGUCGUGAAAAAUAAAUAUGUUGAUCUAUCUUCUCGAAGCAACGCCGAAUCUAGAGUUUCUCGAGGCAUCAUCAUUGUGGGGUUCUCUUCGGGAAGUUAUUACUGCAACAAUCCUGGCGAAUCGUUGCUUUGUGUCCUAGGCUAACACGUGGCAUGAUUUGCCCUAGUAGUUGAGCUGACAUUUCGAUCAAGGCCGCUCACGACUCUAUAUAAGGGUGUCCCCAACCUUCAACCUCCACUUCUUGCCUCACUUGCUCCUUCGCCCGAGUGCUCGAGUGUCCAAGCUCUCGGGUGGUGCUUCGGCGAAGUCUUUCGUUCCUCCGGCACCGGCAUCUUUCGUGCUUCUCCAUUUUUGAUGGAUCUUCACUCCUUGGCUGCAUGGCCCUUCUCUUUGUCUUAUCCCUCGCUGCCUUGUUCUCUUCUUCAUCUUUUUAUUUAUUUUCUUUUUUAUUUUCCCCCAUGAUCGAUGGGGAGAUUUAACACCUCGGACGGU
RNAcentral lists this long non-coding RNA (704 nucleotides) under Phoenix dactylifera (date palm). RNAcentral's name for it is "long non-coding RNA (PDAC_LNC009652)". Lineage: Eukaryota; Viridiplantae; Streptophyta; Magnoliopsida; Arecales; Arecaceae. The record is from RNAcentral.